This 253-nucleotide ribosomal RNA is filed under the name uncultured bacterium. RNAcentral's name for it is "partial 16S ribosomal RNA". It matches the Rfam family "Bacterial small subunit ribosomal RNA", at positions 524 to 776 of the family's 1533-position model. The record is from RNAcentral.
GACGUAGGGGGCCAGCGUUGUUCGGAAUUACUGGGUGUAAAGGGUUCGUAGGCGGUGCGGCAAGUCGGGAGUGAAAUCUCUGGGCUCAACCCAGAGGCUGCUUCCGAAACUGCUGUGCUUGAGUGUGGGAGAGGCGCGUGGAAUUGCAGGUGUAGCGGUGAAAUGCGUAGAUAUUCGCAAGAACACCAGUGGCGAAGGCGGCUCACUGGCCCGGUACUGACGCUGAGGUGCGAAAGCGUGGGGAGCAAACAGG